Gallus gallus (chicken) is the source of this 476-nucleotide long non-coding RNA. The record is from Ensembl. NCBI's taxonomy places the organism in Eukaryota, Metazoa, Chordata, Aves, Galliformes, Phasianidae.
GGAAAAUUGAUAAAAAUUGGGGGUAAUUAAUACUAAUUAAGGCCUCCCCCCCUAUUCUUUGGUCUUGAUGGGGUGGCUGAGGCCGAAAUGGGAACGCGAAGGGGGGGAUGGAGGGAAGGGUCGGAUAAAAUGGGGUCCUGGGGGAAAAUAGUUAAAGGAGGGGGAAAGGGGGGUAAUUAAUGCUAAUUAAUGCCCCCCGCCCCCAUUCUUUGGUCGUUGAUGGGGUGGCUGAGGCCGAAAUGGGAACGCGAAGGGGGGAAUGGGGGGAAGGGUCGGAUAUAUGGGGUCCAAUGGGGAAAUUGGGGGUUUUAGGGGGGGUUUUGGGGUUGGGGGGGUCCCGUAAGCUUUUCAGCUCUCUUUACUUUCGUGGGUCUUCCCCUGUUUGGGUUUCCCUUUGGAGCCCUCCCCCCCCCACGUCGUCGUCGCUGUGCUGGUGAUCAUUUCCGACCUGUGGCCUUCGAUUCAUUCUCGUUUCC